UUACUCACCUGGUGCCGGAAAUUCCGUGAUCAGGAAGGCGGAGACCCCAGGAGGAGGCCCUUCUACUGCACUUCGGAAGGGCUGAGACCUGCCACUCUCUCAAACUGGAAAAGUUAAGGCAUGUAAUUUUUGGUAGAGUGCGGAACCUUGUCGCGUA
Molecule: small nuclear RNA, 157 nt
Filed under: Tropilaelaps mercedesae
Lineage: Eukaryota; Metazoa; Arthropoda; Arachnida; Mesostigmata; Laelapidae
Description: U1 spliceosomal RNA
Rfam family: U1 spliceosomal RNA
About the family: U1 is a small nuclear RNA (snRNA) component of the spliceosome (involved in pre-mRNA splicing). Its 5' end forms complementary base pairs with the 5' splice junction, thus defining the 5' donor site of an intron.
Source: Rfam by way of RNAcentral